This is a long non-coding RNA of Corythoichthys intestinalis (scribbled pipefish), 339 nucleotides long. RefSeq lists it as uncharacterized. The transcript is spliced from 3 exons. Lineage: Eukaryota; Metazoa; Chordata; Actinopteri; Syngnathiformes; Syngnathidae. The record is from RefSeq and is a predicted model, not a curated record.
CUUUUGUCUGCCAAACUCCUGUCACAUGACCUGUCUCACUUAAUAAUCACUGUGUGUCUUUGAGAAUGUGUGUGGGAAUACUCACAUAUAUUUGCAGUGCCUUUCGGGAUCGUUUGACAAUUCAGGUGAAGGCCUGCGUGUCCUUGGCUGAAGGCGACAAAGCAGAUAAAAGUCUACUCUCAAACUUCAAGAGGGAUUCAAAGGAGGCAGGAGGAUGCAUAGCGGUUGCAAGGUCACAGUCGAUAGUUGAGGGAUUUGGAGUGAGAGAGGGACAAAAGGCUGAGCAACACAAGCCCACCGAAACACUGGAACAGACAUGGGGAGAAUAAAGGCGAGGAG